RNAcentral lists this ribosomal RNA (492 nucleotides) under uncultured bacterium. Its description in RNAcentral is "partial 16S ribosomal RNA". It matches the Rfam family "Bacterial small subunit ribosomal RNA", at positions 29 to 507 of the family's 1533-position model. The record is from RNAcentral.
AGUGAACGCUGGCGGUAGGCCUAACACAUGCAAGUCGAACGGCAGCACAGUAAGAGCUUGCUCUUACGGGUGGCGAGUGGCGGACGGGUGAGGAAUACAUCGGAAUCUACUUUUUCGUGGGGGAUAACGUAGGGAAACUUACGCUAAUACCGCAUACGACCUACGGGUGAAAUCAGAGGAUCUUCGGACCUUGCGCGAUUGAAUGAGCCGAUGUCGGAUUAGCUAGUUGGCGGGGUAAAGGCCCACCAAGGCGACGAUCCGUAGCUGGUCUGAGAGGAUGAUCAGCCACACUGGAACUGAGACACGGUCCAGACUCCUACGGGAGGCAGCAGUGGGGAAUAUUGGACAAUGGGCGCAAGCCUGAUCCAGCCAUACCGCGUGGGUGAAGAAGGCCUUCGGGUUGUAAAGCCCUUUUGUUGGGAAAGAAAAGCAGCAGGUUAAUACCCCGCUGUUCUGACGGUACCCAAAGAAUAAGCACCGGCUAACUUCGUG